GUUCUAAUAGUUUAACAUAAAACAUUGGUCUUGUAAACCAAAAAUAAGAUCAUUCUUUUAAAACU
This 65-nucleotide transfer RNA is filed under the name Ornebius fuscicerci. Its description in RNAcentral is "tRNA-Thr". It matches the Rfam family "tRNA". Rfam says of the family: Transfer RNA (tRNA) molecules are approximately 80 nucleotides in length. Their secondary structure includes four short double-helical elements and three loops (D, anti-codon, and T loops). The record is from RNAcentral. Lineage: Eukaryota; Metazoa; Arthropoda; Insecta; Orthoptera; Mogoplistidae.